Molecule: ribosomal RNA, 668 nt
Filed under: Umbelopsis autotrophica
Lineage: Eukaryota; Fungi; Mucoromycota; Umbelopsidomycetes; Umbelopsidales; Umbelopsidaceae
Description: eukaryotic LSU rRNA
Rfam family: Eukaryotic large subunit ribosomal RNA
Source: RNAcentral
UAACAAGGAUUCCCUCAGUAACGGCGAGUGAAGCGGGAAGAGCUCAAAUUUAAAAUCUGGUUUACUUGUAAGCCCGAGUUGUAGUCUGAAGAAACGUUUUCCAUAAGCACUGAGGCAAAAGUCCCUUGGAACAGGGCAUCAUAGAGGGUGAGAAUCCCGUCCAUGGUCUCAAGUUGUUUAUUUUGUGAUACGUUUUCAAAGAGUCAGGUUGUUUGGGAAUGCAGCCUAAAAUGGGUGGUAAAUUUCAUCUAAAGCUAAAUAUUGGCGAGAGACCGAUAGCGAACAAGUACCGUGAGGGAAAGAUGAAAAGAACUUUGAAAAGAGAGUUAAACAGUACGUGAAAUUGUUGAAAGGGAACCGUUUGAAGCCAGUCUUACUUGCCUGUGAUCAAUUUUUGCUUCGGCAUGAAUGCACUCUCGGGUAUGGUAGGCCAACGACAGUUUGGAAUGCGAGAAAAAAAUAGGGGAAAUGUGGCCUUCGGGUGUUAUAGUCCCUUAUAAAAUAUCGUGUCCUGGACUGAGGAUCGCAGUGAAAAUGUGGGCAGGUGGAUUUCUGUGGUGACUGUCGGUUAGGACAACUUGUUGACCUAGCCUUCCUUAGCCUCACUAUUUACCUUGCUUCUAAUUUGCUUAGGUCGUUGGCAUAAUGGCUUUAAAUGACCCGUCUUG